GAUUCAAGGGAUUUGUUCCCUCUUUGAUGCUCAGGAAGACCUUGGAGCUUCGAAGGCCUUGACAGGGGAUGAAACCGCUCCUGUUCUAUGCGGACUUUGCUAUAUGGAUCUGGUUGGAGAAAAAGGACAGAUGCACGGGGCAAGGCUAGGCAUCCCUGGGUACCAACUGACUUUGUCUGGGGCUCUGAUUGGAGACAUCUUCUCUCGGGGAUGCAGACCGAUGGAGACGUCACCGUCUGCCAGGUCACUGUUUGCUGUGGCAGGAGGAAGGGCGUGUGCCAAUUCAUGUGCUGACUAUCACGAAUGAAAAGUGUUGCCUGCCAUAUCAGUAAACAAAGGAUGCUGCAGCCAUCCAGCCAUCACAUUCCAGCUGCCCCCAGUGGUGAGUCUUGAGGGAACUCAGGAUGGAAAUAGGUUGCCACCAUAGAGCCCUCAGCUACUGCAGCCAGCCCCCAGUGGUGCACCUAGAGGGGACUCAGGAGGUGAAAAAACAGCAUACUUGCCCUAGAUAGCUAAGAUGCAGAUCAAAGGAAUGAAUUCAAUGAGUCCAGACUCUUGCAUCUUCCCGGACAUCAAAAAGCACAAAAUUCCUUAACUUGAGAUGUUUGGCUUCCUUUCAUUAACAGUAAUCCUUUGAUGUUCCAACUACCUGGCUUUUGUUGCAAAAACUCCUGUAUGUCCUGGCUCCUCCUGUACCUCUCCAGAGUGGUCCCCCUGAGCCAUCUGAGAGGCUGCCUCCUGGGUGUGAAGUCCUCAGAAAGUCUGCCAAAUAAAACAGAAUUCUCAACUUU
Molecule: long non-coding RNA, 791 nt
Organism: Orcinus orca (killer whale)
Lineage: Eukaryota; Metazoa; Chordata; Mammalia; Artiodactyla; Delphinidae
Exons: 2
Source: RefSeq, a predicted model, not a curated record